RNAcentral lists this ribosomal RNA (491 nucleotides) under uncultured bacterium. RNAcentral describes it as "partial 16S ribosomal RNA". It matches the Rfam family "Bacterial small subunit ribosomal RNA", at positions 29 to 506 of the family's 1533-position model. The record is from RNAcentral.
AGUGAACGCUGGCGGUAGGCCUAACACAUGCAAGUCGAACGGCAGCACAGUAAGAGCUUGCUCUUACGGGUGGCGAGUGGCGGACGGGUGAGGAAUACAUCGGAAUCUACUUUUUCGUGGGGGAUAACGUAGGGAAACUUACGCUAAUACCGCAUACGACCUACGGGUGAAAGCAGGGGAUCUUCGGACCUUGCGCGAUUGAAUGAGCCGAUGUCGGAUUAGCUAGUUGGCGGGGUAAAGGCCCACCAAGGCGACGAUCCGUAGCUGGUCUGAGAGGAUGAUCAGCCACACUGGAACUGAGACACGGUCCAGACGCCUACGGGAGGCAGCAGUGGGGAAUAUUGGACAAUGGGCGCAAGCCUGAUCCAGCCAUACCGCGUGGGUGAGGAAGGCCUUCGGGUUGUAAAGCCCUUUUGUUGGGAAAGAAAAGCAGCAGGUUAAUACCCCGCUGUUCUGACGGUACCCAAAGAAUAAGCACCGGCUAACUUCGU